This 464-nucleotide ribosomal RNA is filed under the name Vreelandella stevensii. RNAcentral's name for it is "partial 16S ribosomal RNA". It matches the Rfam family "Bacterial small subunit ribosomal RNA", at positions 339 to 795 of the family's 1533-position model. The record is from RNAcentral. Lineage: Bacteria; Pseudomonadati; Pseudomonadota; Gammaproteobacteria; Oceanospirillales; Halomonadaceae.
CUACGGGAGGCAGCAGUGGGGAAUAUUGGACAAUGGGGGGAACCCUGAUCCAGCCAUGCCGCGUGUGUGAAGAAGGCCCUCGGGUUGUAAAGCACUUUCAGUGAGGAAGAACGCCUGGUGGUUAAUACCCAUCAGGAAAGACAUCACUCACAGAAGAAGCACCGGCUAACUCCGUGCCAGCAGCCGCGGUAAUACGGAGGGUGCGAGCGUUAAUCGGAAUUACUGGGCGUAAAGCGCGCGUAGGUGGCUUGAUAAGCCGGUUGUGAAAGCCCCGGGCUCAACCUGGGAACGGCAUCCGGAACUGUCAAGCUAGAGUGCAGGAGAGGAAGGUAGAAUUCCCGGUGUAGCGGUGAAAUGCGUAGAGAUCGGGAGGAAUACCAGUGGCGAAGGCGGCCUUCUGGACUGACACUGACACUGAGGUGCGAAAGCGUGGGUAGCAAACAGGAUUAGAUACCCCUGUAGUC